RNAcentral lists this ribosomal RNA (379 nucleotides) under uncultured bacterium. RNAcentral's name for it is "partial 16S ribosomal RNA". It matches the Rfam family "Bacterial small subunit ribosomal RNA", at positions 524 to 898 of the family's 1533-position model. The record is from RNAcentral.
GACGGAGGGGGCAAGCGUUGUCCGGAAUCACUGGGCGUAAAGCGCACGUAGGCGGUCUGGUGCGUCGGCGCUGAAACCUGCGGGCUCAACCCGCAGACGCGUGCCGAUACGACCGGACUGGAGGCAGGCAGAGGGUGGCGGAAUUCCGGGUGUAGUGGUGAAAUGCGUAGAGAUCCGGAGGAACGCCUGUGGCGAAAGCGGCCACCUGGGCCUGAACUGACGCUGAGGUGCGAAAGCGUGGGGAGCGAACCGGAUUAGAUACCCGGGUAGUCCACGCCGUAAACGAUGCCGGCUCGGUGCCUGGGCUCCGUUUAGGGGCCUGGGUGCCUCAGCACACGCGGUAAGCCGGCCGCCUGGGGAGUACGAGCGCAAGCUUAAA